Molecule: non-coding RNA, 208 nt
Filed under: Mollicutes bacterium
Lineage: Bacteria; Bacillati; Mycoplasmatota; Mollicutes
Description: T-box sequence
Rfam family: T-box leader
About the family: Uncharged tRNA acts as the effector for transcription antitermination of genes in the T-box leader family.
Source: RNAcentral
UAUAAAACUGGGAACUAGAAGUAGUAGUAAAAUGUUUAUUUUAAGAGACUUAGUGGUGGUGAGAACUAAGAAUAAACAUUUACGAAUUAGUCUAGGGAGUUGCUUACUCGCAACACGUGAGAGUAAGACGUUAACUUGCGUUAAAAGUUUAAGUGCUAGGGAUGUCCUAGAACAAAGGUGGUACCGCGGAAAUUAUUUCGUCCUUAUU